UAAUACCGGAUAGGAGCGNCNACCGCAUGGUGGGUGUUGGAAAGAUUUAUCGGUUUUGGAUGGACUCGCGGCCUAUCAGCUUGUUGGUGAGGUAAUGGCUCACCAAGGCGACGACGGGUAGCCGGCCUGAGAGGGUGACCGGCCACACUGGGACUGAGACACGGCCCAGACUCCUACGGGAGGCAGCAGUGGGGAAUAUUGCACAAUGGGCGAAAGCCUGAUGCAGCGACGCCGCGUGAGGGAUGACGGCCUUCGGGUUGUAAACCUCUUUCAGUAGGGAAGAAGCGAAAGUGACGGUACCUGCAGAAGAAGCACCGGCUAACUACGUGCCAGCAGCCGCGGUAAUACGUAGGGUGCGAGCGUUAUCCGGAAUUAUUG
RNAcentral lists this ribosomal RNA (378 nucleotides) under Micrococcus luteus. Its description in RNAcentral is "bacterial SSU rRNA". It matches the Rfam family "Bacterial small subunit ribosomal RNA", at positions 164 to 556 of the family's 1533-position model. Lineage: Bacteria; Bacillati; Actinomycetota; Actinomycetes; Micrococcales; Micrococcaceae. The record is from RNAcentral.